AUGACAUGCCCGUCGGCGCUCCAUCCUCCCAUCUUCUCCAUCUUUUCCCUAGCCAUCUCCCUCCUCCCUCCCUUUUCCGCCCCCACCUCUACUCCGAUCUGGUCUGGAACUAGGCGCCGGCGACUUGGAGGCAGAGGACACUCGAGCGCUCCUUCUGGAUCGGGUCAACGCGGCGCCACCUCUCGAUGCGGAAUGGCGGGGGCGGCUAGAUCGGCAGCGGCAACUGGAGCUUGCAGAACGACGGCGGCGGCUGGAGCUGGGGAUUGCCAGCCCUGGGAGGAGCGCGUCUCGCCGGCUGCGGCUCCACUGGGAGGAGCGCAACUACGUAGCUAUAAUUGUUCAGGGAGCCAUGCAAUUGGAGCUGAGAGAAUUAUUAGCACGUUAUGUAAAGAAGUGUUGAGCCAGUACAAAGGGACGAUCCUCAAUUUGUUAAUAGCAGAGCUGUGUGAGCGUUUACGGAGCGCGAACGGGGAGUCAACAGUCAGCUGCUGUCAUAUCUCAAAAAUGCGGGUUCGUUUUUCGUUGCUUACAGCGAGAGCGGUCGUGGUGGACAGGAACGACCACCACGGAUCCCUCGCCCCAAGUCAAGAUCCAGUUGUUGAAUGUUCACAAGAAAAUUUAUGUAUUCCUGAAACACUACCCAUUGUUUUAGCUGCCUACAUGGAUUGGAGAUUGACUGAUUGUUUGGUUGUCCGCAGAUUCAAAGAUGAAGUGAUUCAGAUGAGCGUCUCCCACAAGUCUUUUGCACUACCCGAGAGGUCAAGCAUCCCAGAUCAUGAUCCAAUCAUGACUGAAAUUGCCACAUGCUCGGGCAGAAGCUUAAGCGAGUCGAUCCCCAUCUUCCUCUCUCCCUCUAUCCCACAGGUCACCUACGACGCUCCUCUCUCCCUCGAUCCCUUCUCUGCACCACCGGCGCCCAUGGCAAGCACUAUCCCCUUGCACCGCUUGCCGGAUACAUCCAUUCCCACCGCUGGCGCUCCUGCUCGCUCUGCAGCUGUCCCCAACUCCUCCUCAAUCCACACCUCCGUGUCCUCCGCCUUCGCCGCCUGCCGCCUCCUUCUCCCCACGACCCCACCUCCUCUAUUUCUCCCCUUCCGCCUCCUGCCCCACUCCCUGCCCGCCUCCUUCUCCCCACCCCGCCCGCCUCCUUAUCCUGCCUCGCGACUGUCUCGGUGCCGGUGGUGGUGGCCACGACCAGACUCUUGCGCAGCUACCGGCUGCAGUUCCUUGCGCUUCCUCCCACGUCUCCACCACCUCGCCUGUGCAACACCGUGCCCGCACGGUCCCAGCGCCAUCUACUACAGCCCCGCGGUCAACCGUCUGGACACCAUGGGCAGCGGCCAUGGAGGCCGCACCUCUAUCCGCUCGCCAGCCAGUACCUCCGCCUACAUCCUCCCUCAUCCAUCUAGAUCAGGGUUGCCCAACAGUUUUUCAUGUUGUGUCUUUUCUGACCGCGUGAAGUUGCAAGUUGCAGAAGUGGAAUCAACCUUUUCUAUUAUCAUGCCAAAAGAAAAAAAACCUUUAAUGCUACAGCCGAGCGGAGCCAUGGAUGCCUAUGCUUUCGCAUACUUGCCUCUGUUGCUGGAGGUAUAUCAUUCCAAUAUUCAUACUAUAGAAGUCGUUGUCAGGGAGUGCGAGAUGGGCGGCGCAGUGGCCAGCGAUGGCAACAGCAUCACGGCAGCUGUGUUCACCCAGUUUGAGGUGACGUCGAGGAGAUGUCGACGAACUCCGUGGAUGAGCGGUGGUCAUGAGAGUUUGCCGAGGAAGGCCGACUCGAUCAUGGAGUUGCUAUCGCUGCAGAAGGCGACGCUAGCAAUAGAGACAUCCAUCCAUUAG
RNAcentral lists this ribosomal RNA (1836 nucleotides) under Triticum aestivum (bread wheat). Its description in RNAcentral is "partial small subunit ribosomal RNA". Lineage: Eukaryota; Viridiplantae; Streptophyta; Magnoliopsida; Poales; Poaceae. The record is from RNAcentral.